CUGUGUAUGAUAAGAGGUUGAUACAAGGAUACACAUUUGAGGUAUCUUGAUAUACUUACUUCCGUCAAUAUGGUGAGGAAACAGAAGAUACCAAGUAAUAAUGUUAUUUUUUUCUUUUUUCCCGAAUUUCACUUUUCCUUUAUUUUCCCUGUCUCUAUCUCUUUAAUCUAUUCCUUUCCACCGCUCACUGUCCGUUCAUUCAUAUCCUUCACAAACACAAAAUAUUUAUCCCACCCUUUCAUCUUCAACACAUUCCUCUUCAUAUCUUCACUUCCCUCCAAUCCUCUCUUUCUUCUCUUCAAUUUCCACUUUCAUUCAUUCAUUCUUCCUCUUCCUUUACUCUCUACUCCUUUUCACCUCUCCUCUCCCUACCAUUUCUCUCCUUCCCCCUAAACUCUACUCCUCCCUUCCAAUCUUCCCUUCACAGGUAUACCAUUCAUCGAGCCUCCAGUCAUCACGCAAGAACAGAAGCUUACAGUGGAUUUCCCGUGCCAAUUACAACUGUCCAUGUAUCCAUUCGGCAGGCACAUGUGUAACCUCACCAUUUUAGUAUCAGGUGCAAUAUGGGUAAAUCUCAAGGACGGAGAUUACCGGAAUAUCAAGUACCUUAAUGGGGACCUCUUUGAUUUCCAUCUUGAGAAGAUAACAGCAGAGACACGCCCUAUAUUAUAUGACAUGCCUUCUAAUCCAGGGCGUGUGUCCUUAACCCUUCACCUGGUGGCCCAACCUAGUUACCACGUCAUAAAUAGCUUCUUACCAAGCUCCCUCAUGUUUCUGAUCUGCUACUUGUCUCUUUUCUUCCCCACCGCGUGUUUCAACGAGCGAAUAAUGGUUUCCCUGACAGCCCUCCUUGUCCUCGUCACCCUCUUCUCUCAGGCGACGAACACCUAUGUCAGAACACCGUACUAUAAGUUAAUUGACGUGUGGUACGUCGUGUUGAUGGUCCUCUGCUUUAUUGUUGUGGUUGCUAAUGCGGUUGUCAAUUCUCUGAGGGUCGCAAAGGUACAGUCACAAACUGACCUCAUGAAAAAGGUGUUGGCUGCCAAAAGGUACAACACUACCUUCCAGGUGUUCCUCGCCGCCUGUUUUGUGGCACUGGUAAUGGCAUUUGUCUUGUUCAGCCAAGACAUCCUGUAGCUGUGUGUGUGUGUGUGUGUGUGUGUGUGUGUGUGUGUGUGUGUGUGUGUGUGCCAAUGUAGCAUUAAGGCCACCAAACUACCACACUGUUAGCAUUAAGGCCACCAAACUACCACACUGUUAGCAUUAAGGUCACCAAACUACCACACUGUUAGCAUUAAGGCCACCAAACUACCACACUGUUAGCAUUAAGGUCACCAAACUACCACACUGUUAGCAUUAAGGUCACCAAACUACCACACUGUUAGCAUUAAGGUCACCAAACUACCACACUGUUAGCAUUAAGGCCACCAAACUACCACACUGUUAGCAUUAAGGUCACCAAACUACCACACUGUUAGCAUUAAGGCCACCAAACUACCACACUGUUAGCAUUAAGGUCACCAAACUACCACACUGUUAGCAUUAAGGCCACCAAACUACCACACUGUUAGCAUUAAGGCCACCAAACUACCACACUGUUAGCAUUAAGGCCACCAAACUACCACACUGUUAGCAUUAAGGCCACCAAACUACCACACUGUUAGCAUUAAGGCCACCAAACUACCACACUACUAGGAGCUUAGUACCAAUGCCACAGGGGGACACAGGAGGGACCUAAACACUCCAACAUUCUCGUCAGAUGAGAACACAAAGGAAGAGUCUGCCGUCCACCUUUCCCUGCCUGAAUUCAGUGAGCAGGUGAAGGUUCUCCCCGAUACCUUGUGCCUCACCUUCCGUGCCCGUCUGUUUACUAGCAUGAUAAUUGUUACGUAAGAUCACUAUAGUUAGUAUGUAGCUGUUGUCUUACUCCCUUUCCUCAUGCUGGCUCUACUGCCCUGGUGAUGUAAUAUUAUCUACGAAUAAAGAAUUAAGACGUGUU
This is a long non-coding RNA of Eriocheir sinensis (Chinese mitten crab), 1999 nucleotides long. RefSeq lists it as uncharacterized. The transcript has 4 exons. The record is from RefSeq and is a predicted model, not a curated record. Lineage: Eukaryota; Metazoa; Arthropoda; Malacostraca; Decapoda; Varunidae.